AUGAACGCUGGCGGCGUGCCUCAUACAUGCCAGUCGCGCGAACAGACGAGGAGCUUGCUCCUCUGACGUUAGCGGCGGACGGGUGAGUAACACGUGGAUAACCUACCUAUAAGACUGGGAUAACUUCGGGAAACCGGAGCUAAUACCGGAUAAUAUAUUGAACCGCAUGGUUCCAUAGUGAAAGACGGUUUUGCUGUCACUUAUAGAUGGAUCCGCGCCGCAUUAGCUAGUUGGUAAGGUAACGGCUUACCAAGGCAACGAUGCGUAGCCGACCUGAGAGGGUGAUCGGCCACACUGGAACUGAGACACGGUCCAGACUCCUACGGGAGGCAGCAGUAGGGAAUCUUCCGCAAUGGGCGAAAGCCUGACGGAGCAACGCCGCGUGAGUGAUGAAGGUCUUCGGAUCGUAAAACUCUGUUAUUAGGGAAGAACAAAUGUGUAAGUAACUAUGCACGUCUUGACGGUACCUAAUCAGAAAGCCACGGCUAACUACGUG
This 496-nucleotide ribosomal RNA is filed under the name uncultured bacterium. RNAcentral's name for it is "partial 16S ribosomal RNA". It matches the Rfam family "Bacterial small subunit ribosomal RNA", at positions 29 to 507 of the family's 1533-position model. The record is from RNAcentral.